UCAAAAAAACACUUUGCUCAACAAUCUAGUCUAAUCAUCCUUGCUUUCGUUUCCAACUCAGUGUAUAUAUUCUCCAGACGCACCUAUCCACUGCACAAUGGCCGAAGAAAAAGCAGACGACAAACGCGAGAAAAUCCU
Molecule: non-coding RNA, 138 nt
Filed under: Foraminifera environmental sample
Lineage: Eukaryota; Foraminifera
Source: RNAcentral